This 292-nucleotide ribosomal RNA is filed under the name uncultured bacterium. Its description in RNAcentral is "partial 16S ribosomal RNA". It matches the Rfam family "Bacterial small subunit ribosomal RNA", at positions 505 to 796 of the family's 1533-position model. The record is from RNAcentral.
GUGUCAGCAGCCGCGGUAAGACAGAGGGUGCAAACGUUGUUCGGAAUUACUGGGCAUAAAGCGCACGUAGGUGGUCUGCUAAGUCAAGUGUGAAAUCCCCCGGCUCAACCGGGGAAUUGCGCUCGAUACUGGCAGGCUAGAGGUCGGUAGGGGUGGGCGGAACUCCAGGUGGAGCGGUGAAAUGCGUAGAUAUCUGGAGGAACACCGGUGGCGAAAGCGGCUCACUGGACCGAGUCUGACACUGAGGUGCGAAAGCUAGGGUAGCAAACGGGAUUAGAAACCCCGGUAGUCC